This 63-nucleotide unclassified non-coding RNA is filed under the name Algibacter luteus. RNAcentral's name for it is "Arenitalea lutea Flavo-1 RNA". Lineage: Bacteria; Pseudomonadati; Bacteroidota; Flavobacteriia; Flavobacteriales; Flavobacteriaceae. The record is from RNAcentral.
UAGGGAUUGCAGAAGAAAGCCCGCAGCGACAGCGAGGACUUGUAACGGAAAGCCCGACCCUUG